This 778-nucleotide ribosomal RNA is filed under the name uncultured bacterium. Its description in RNAcentral is "bacterial SSU rRNA". It matches the Rfam family "Bacterial small subunit ribosomal RNA", at positions 1 to 772 of the family's 1533-position model. The record is from RNAcentral.
AGGAGUUUGAUCCUGGGCUCAGAUUGAACGCUGGCGGCAUGCCUAACACAUGCAAGUCGAACGGUAACGAUGGAAGCUUGCUUCCAGGCGACGAGUGGCGGACGGGUGAGUAAUACUUAGGAAUCUGCCCAGUAGUGGGGGACAACUCGAGGAAACUCGAGCUAAUACCGCAUACGCCCUACGGGGGAAAGCGGAGGAUCUUUCGGGACUUCGCGCUAUUGGAUGAGCCUAAGUCGGAUUAGCUUGUUGGUGGGGUAAAGGCCUACCAAGGCAACGAUCUGUAGCUGGUCUGAGAGGACGAUCAGCCACACUGGGACUGAGACACGGCCCAGACUCCUACGGGAGGCAGCAGUGGGGAAUAUUGGACAAUGGGGGCAACCCUGAUCCAGCAAUGCCGCGUGUGUGAAGAAGGCCUGCGGGUUGUAAAGCACUUUCAGUAGAGAAGAAAUGCCCAUGGUUAAUACCCGUGGGUCUUGACGUAACCUACAGAAGAAGCACCGGCUAACUCCGUGCCAGCAGCCGCGGUAAUACGGAGGGUGCGAGCGUUAAUCGGAAUUACUGGGCGUAAAGCGCGCGUAGGCGGUUUGGUCAGUCGGAUGUGAAAGCCCUAGGCUCAACCUGGGAAUGGCAUUCGAUACUGCCUGACUAGAGUAUGGUAGAGGGAAGUGGAAUUUCCGGUGUAGCGGUGAAAUGCGUAGAUAUCGGAAGGAACACCAGUGGCGAAGGCGACUUCCUGGGCCAAUACUGACGCUUGAGGUGCGAAAGCGUGGGGAGCAAA